RNAcentral lists this ribosomal RNA (495 nucleotides) under uncultured bacterium. RNAcentral's name for it is "partial 16S ribosomal RNA". It matches the Rfam family "Bacterial small subunit ribosomal RNA", at positions 28 to 505 of the family's 1533-position model. The record is from RNAcentral.
GAUGAACGCUGGCGGCGUGCCUAAUACAUGCAAGUCGAGCGAACAGACGAGGAGCUUGCUCCUCUGACGUUAGCGGCGGACGGGUGAGUAACACGUGGAUAACCUACCUAUAAGACUGGGAUAACUUCGGGAAACCGGAGCUAAUACCGGAUAAUAUAUUGAACCGCAUGGUUCAAUAGUGAAAGACGGUUUUGCUGUCACUUAUAGAUGGAUCCGCGCCGCAUUAGCUAGUUGGUAAGGUAACGGCUUACCAAGGCAACGAUGCGUAGCCGACCUGAGAGUGAUCUCGCCCACUGGGACUGAGACACGCUCUACACACUUCUGCGAGGGACAGGUAUGGAGACUCCUCCGAAGUGCGCAAGAGCGUCGCAGAACAGCGCCGCGUGAGAGGAAAGGCUCUUCAGAUCGUAAAUCUCUGUUUAUGGAAAAAAAAAAGUGUAUAUGUAUCUGUACGCGUCUACGGGAUACCAAAAGAAAGAGCCGCGGCAAUCUGCG